RNAcentral lists this ribosomal RNA (440 nucleotides) under uncultured bacterium. RNAcentral's name for it is "partial 16S ribosomal RNA". It matches the Rfam family "Bacterial small subunit ribosomal RNA", at positions 338 to 795 of the family's 1533-position model. The record is from RNAcentral.
CCUACGGGCGACAGCAGUGGGGAAUAUUGCACAAUGGGGGAAACCCUGAUCCAGCGACGCCGCGUGAGUGAAGAAGUAUUUCGGUACGUAAAGCUCUAUCAGCAGGGAAGAAAAUGACGGUACCUGACUAACAAGCCCCUGCUAACUACGUGCCAGCAGCCGCGGUAAUACGUAGGGGGCAAGCGUUAUCCGGAUUUACUGGUGGUAAAGGGAGCGUAGACGGCAGCGCAAGUCUGGCGUGAAAUGCCGGGGCCCAACCCGGGAACUGCUCUGGAAACUGGGAAGCUGGAGUGCAGGAGAGGUAAGCGGAAUUCCUGGUGUAGCGGUGAAAUGCGUAGAUAUCAGGAGGAACACCGGCGGCGAAGGCGGCUUACUGGACUGUAACUGACGCUGAGGCGCGAAGGCGUGGGGAGCAAACAGGAUUAGAUACCCGAGUAGUC